This 539-nucleotide ribosomal RNA is filed under the name Salmonella enterica. Its description in RNAcentral is "partial 23S ribosomal RNA". It matches the Rfam family "Bacterial large subunit ribosomal RNA", at positions 653 to 1190 of the family's 2925-position model. Lineage: Bacteria; Pseudomonadati; Pseudomonadota; Gammaproteobacteria; Enterobacterales; Enterobacteriaceae. The record is from RNAcentral. RNAcentral also lists the same sequence under 1 other name.
CCGUAUAGGGGAGCCGCAGGGAAACCGAGUCUUAACCGGGCGUUAAGUUGCAGGGUAUAGACCCGAAACCCGGUGAUCUAGCCAUGGGCAGGUUGAAGGUUGGGUAACACUAACUGGAGGACCGAACCGACUAAUGUUGAAAAAUUAGCGGAUGACCUGUGGCUGGGGGUGAAAGGCCAAUCAAACCGGGAGAUAGCUGGUUCUCCCCGAAAGCUAUUUAGGUAGCGCCUCGUGAAUUCAUCUCCGGGGGUAGAGCACUGUUUCGGCUAGGGGGCCAUCCCGGCUUACCAACCCGAUGCAAACUGCGAAUACCGGAGAAUGUUAUCACGGGAGACACACGGCGGGUGCUAACGUCCGUCGUGAAGAGGGAAACAACCCAGACCGCCAGCUAAGGUCCCAAAGUCAUGGUUAAGUGGGAAACGAUGUGGGAAGGCCCAGACAGCCAGGAUGUUGGCUUAGAAGCAGCCAUCAUUUAAAGAAAGCGUAAUAGCUCACUGGUCGAGUCGGCCUGCGCGGAAGAUGUAACGGGGCUAAACCAU